Molecule: long non-coding RNA, 208 nt
Organism: Gopherus flavomarginatus (Mexican gopher tortoise)
Lineage: Eukaryota; Metazoa; Chordata; Testudines; Testudinidae
Exons: 2
Source: RefSeq, a predicted model, not a curated record
CAGUGGUAGAGUGUUUGACUGAAGAUCAAGGGGUCCUUGCUUCAAAUCCAAGUGCCCUCUAAUAAGCCUCUUAUUUUCUUAUUUUUAUUUUUGAAAAAAGGGAAAACAUUUUCAUUUCCAUUCUCCAUUAUGUUCAGGAGCUCCACUAUACGGGGAUGCUUGAAAUGAAUGUAAACACUCAACAUUUCACUGUCCAAAUGCAUAAAAA